RNAcentral lists this long non-coding RNA (972 nucleotides) under Linum usitatissimum (flax). RNAcentral describes it as "long non-coding RNA (LUSI_LNC005749)". Lineage: Eukaryota; Viridiplantae; Streptophyta; Magnoliopsida; Malpighiales; Linaceae. The record is from RNAcentral.
AGCAUCCCUACGUCAUUCUAAAUAGAACAACAGUAAAAAAUAAGACUAACUUUGAAUUACAACCCUAAAUUUAUUUUUCUAACCCUCUCAUUGGCACGAUAACCAUCAUCUUGCUUGAUCUUGGCCAUAAGGACUUCCCAAGUCUGACUUUUACCAUUGUAAAUCCUUCUGCUUCUUUCUUACCAAAUACUACCCACCAUACUGCACCAAAUCAUUCUCUUUGCCUUAACUAUUACUGAGUGCCCUCUCCAUUUCUCGCACAUAAACGUAACAUUUGCAUCCCAAUUAUCAUAACCCUGCAUAUCUAGAAGUAAAUCCCUAAGCACUUCAGAUGAAUACUCACACUCAAAUAAUACAUGUUUCUUGUUAUUAACACCCUGACUGCUCCUUCAUAUAGAUACGAUUUGUGAUAACAAGCCAACUAAGGUCACUAGAACUAGGAAUAUGCCAACCCUCCCAAAUAAGAUUACUCCAAGGAAUAGUAAGCUGCUUACAUCUUAAUGAUUCCCAAACCUGUUUCAAAUAGAAGCGUGGCAUAGAUUUCCCACCCCAUAACGAAACACCAUCCACAUUAAAUGACAUAAAAUGCUUAGAGACAUUAUGAGUUUUGAGUAUUCGUUUCCAGAUCCAAGAUCCUGUUGUACCUUUAACCUCUCACAUGUCUCAAGUUUUGACACGCUACUUAUAAAUCCAUGCCACCCAAAGAAAACCACUUCUACUGAAAAUAGACCAGAGGUGACAGACAAUAUUGGCAGAGUUCCAAGAUCACAGAUCCUUUAAACCCAAACCACCUUCAGCGUGAGGGACUGCCAAAUGCUUCCAAGCUGCAUGACAUCUUCCACCAUCAAACUUACUCCAGAGGAAGCGAUUGCAAUUUCUCCAAUUUCCUUUAUCAAAGCUUUUGGGAGUAAAAAGACAGACAUCCAAUACUGUAAAAUACCCCCAACGACAGAAGAAACAAGUUGCGAUUUC